GUACUUGAUUUAGCAGAGCACAUACUAGAACUGGAAGGAUACAGAGAUGAGCACCGCCCCUGCCCAGGGAUGGCACACAAAUUCG
RNAcentral lists this small nuclear RNA (85 nucleotides) under Vicugna pacos (alpaca). Lineage: Eukaryota; Metazoa; Chordata; Mammalia; Artiodactyla; Camelidae. The record is from RNAcentral.